AGAAUUUUAAGUUAAAGAAACUAUAAGUUUUCAAAACUUAUUAUAUGUAAAAAGUUACUUAAAUUCUG
This 68-nucleotide transfer RNA is filed under the name Opisthoteuthis grimaldii. RNAcentral's name for it is "tRNA-Trp". Lineage: Eukaryota; Metazoa; Mollusca; Cephalopoda; Octopoda; Opisthoteuthidae. The record is from RNAcentral.